GUUAGACCAUCGAUAUUAAGGGUUAGGUAGAUACAUUGCAGAAGUUUCAAAAUAAAGAAAAAAUAUUGAGAGUGAAAACUAAGGAACAAUGUAGUAUAGUGAGUAUAAGAUUCUUGCAAGCUUGUGCUUUAGUGAAAAAAAUCGAUUGGAAGAAAAGCUUUGUAAAGGCUAAAAGGCAAGCAAGAAAAUCCUGAAUAAAUAAAAGCAAAGUGAAAAAAAAAAGAAAAAAGAAGAAG
Molecule: long non-coding RNA, 236 nt
Filed under: Gossypium raimondii (Peruvian cotton)
Lineage: Eukaryota; Viridiplantae; Streptophyta; Magnoliopsida; Malvales; Malvaceae
Description: long non-coding RNA (GRAI_LNC008285)
Source: RNAcentral